Molecule: ribosomal RNA, 974 nt
Filed under: Paenarthrobacter nicotinovorans
Lineage: Bacteria; Bacillati; Actinomycetota; Actinomycetes; Micrococcales; Micrococcaceae
Description: bacterial SSU rRNA
Rfam family: Bacterial small subunit ribosomal RNA
Source: RNAcentral
CUGUGCUGCUUUUCUUAACAUUGCAGUCGAACGAUGAUCCCAGCUUGCUGGGGGAUUAGUGGCGAACGGGUGAGUAACACGUGAGUAACCUGCCCUUGACUCUGGGAUAAGCCUGGGAAACUGGGUCUAAUACCGGAUAUGACUCCUCAUCGCAUGGUGGGGGGUGGAAAGCUUUUGUGGUUUUGGAUGGACUCGCGGCCUAUCAGCUUGUUGGUGGGGUAAUGGCCUACCAAGGCGACGACGGGUAGCCGGCCUGAGAGGGUGACCGGCCACACUGGGACUGAGACACGGCCCAGACUCCUACGGGAGGCAGCAGUGGGGAAUAUUGCACAAUGGGCGCAAGCCUGAUGCAGCGACGCCGCGUGAGGGAUGACGGCCUUCGGGUUGUAAACCUCUUUCAGUAGGGAAGAAGCGUAAGUGACGGUACCUGCAGAAGAAGCGCCGGCUAACUACGUGCCAGCAGCCGCGGUAAUACGUAGGGCGCAAGCGUUAUCCGGAAUUAUUGGGCGUAAAGAGCUCGUAGGCGGUUUGUCGCGUCUGCUGUGAAAGACCGGGGCUCAACUCCGGUUCUGCAGUGGGUACGGGCAGACUAGAGUGCAGUAGGGGAGACUGGAAUUCCUGGUGUAGCGGUGAAAUGCGCAGAUAUCAGGAGGAACACCGAUGGCGAAGGCAGGUCUCUGGGCUGUAACUGACGCUGAGGAGCGAAAGCAUGGGGAGCGAACAGGAUUAGAUACCCUGGUAGUCCAUGCCGUAAACGUUGGGCACUAGGUGUGGGGGACAUUCCACGUUUUCCGCGCCGUAGCUAACGCAUUAAGUGCCCCGCCUGGGGGAGUACGGCCGCAAGGCUAAAACUCAAAGGAAUUGACGGGGGCCCGCACAAGCGGCGGAGCAUGCGGAUUAAUUCGAUGCAACGCGAAGAACCUUACCAAGGCUUGACAUGAACCGGAAAGACCUGGAAACAGGUGCCCCGCUUG